This 468-nucleotide ribosomal RNA is filed under the name uncultured bacterium. RNAcentral's name for it is "partial 16S ribosomal RNA". It matches the Rfam family "Bacterial small subunit ribosomal RNA", at positions 28 to 507 of the family's 1533-position model. The record is from RNAcentral.
GACGAACGCUGGCGGCGUGCUUAACACAUGCAAGUCGAACGAACAGGUCAUGCUUUUGUGGGGUGCUCGAGUGGCGAACGGGUGAGUAACACGUGAGUAACCUGCACCUGUCUUUGGGAUAAAUUCAGGAGACUGGGGCGCUUACCGGGUAGGAGCUCUAGCUGCAUGGUGGGGGAUGGAAAGAUUUGGUGGUUCGGGAUGGAAUCGCGGCUUAUCCGCUUGUUGGGGGGGUAGUGGCAUACCAAGCCUGUGAAGGGUAGCCGGCCUGAGAGGGCGACCGGCCACAAUAGUACUGAGAUACGGCCCAGACUCCUACCGGAGGCAGCGGUGGAGAAUAUUGCACAAUGGGCGGAAGCCUGAUACAGCAACGCCGCGUGCGGGAUGACGGCCUUCGGGUUGUGAACCGCUUUCGCCUGUGACGAGGAGUGAGUGACGGUAAUGGAUAAAGAAGCACCGGCUAACUACGUG